RNAcentral lists this ribosomal RNA (429 nucleotides) under uncultured bacterium. RNAcentral describes it as "bacterial SSU rRNA". It matches the Rfam family "Bacterial small subunit ribosomal RNA", at positions 29 to 441 of the family's 1533-position model. The record is from RNAcentral.
AACGAACGCUGGCGGCGUGCUUAACACAUGCAAGUCGAACGAGAAAGGGGUCUUCGGACCCUGAGUAGAGUGGCGCACGGGUGAGUAACGCGUAGGUAAUCUAUCCUUAUAUUUGGGAUAACAUUGGGAAACUGGUGCUAAUACCGGAUACCCUUCUUUGCUGCGGGGCGAAGGAGGAAAGGUGGCCUCUUCAUGAAAGCUACCGUAUAGGGAUGAGCCUGCGUACCAUUAGCUAGUAGGUGGGGUAACGGCCCACCUAGGCGACGAUGGUUAGCGGGUCUGAGAGGAUGAUCCGCCACACUGGAACUGAAACACGGACCAGACUCCUACGGGAGGCAGCAGUGAGGAAUAUUGCGCAAUGGGGGAAACCCUGACGCAGCGACGCCGCGUGAGUGAGGAAGGUUUUCGGAUCGUAAAGCUCUGUCAGAA